CGGACUAUCGCCAAAUGGAUAAGGCACACGGCUACGGACCGUGCAUUCAGGGUUCGAAUCCCCGUAGUCCGG
Molecule: transfer RNA, 72 nt
Filed under: Clostridium porci
Lineage: Bacteria; Bacillati; Bacillota; Clostridia; Eubacteriales; Clostridiaceae
Description: Clostridium sp. WCA-389-WT-23D1 tRNA-Arg
Rfam family: tRNA
About the family: Transfer RNA (tRNA) molecules are approximately 80 nucleotides in length. Their secondary structure includes four short double-helical elements and three loops (D, anti-codon, and T loops).
Source: RNAcentral